RNAcentral lists this ribosomal RNA (500 nucleotides) under uncultured Glomeromycotina. Its description in RNAcentral is "partial small subunit ribosomal RNA". It matches the Rfam family "Eukaryotic small subunit ribosomal RNA", at positions 591 to 1092 of the family's 1831-position model. The record is from RNAcentral. Lineage: Eukaryota; Fungi; Glomeromycota.
CCAAUAGCGUAUAUUAAAGUUGUUGCAGUUAAAAAGCUCGUAGUUGAAUUUCGGGAUCAGUACGCUGGUCGUGCCUCCGGUACGUACUGGUGUCACUGAUUCCUCCCUUCUGACGAACCAUCAUGCCAUUCACUUGGUGUGGUGGGGAAAUCAGGACUGUUACUUUGAAAAAAUUAGAGUGUUUAAAGCAGGCUCACGCUUGAAUACAUUAGCAUGGAAUAAUGAAAUAGGACGUUGACCCUAUUUUGUUGGUUUCUAGGAUUGACGUAAUGAUUAAUAGGGAUAGUUGGGGGCAUUAGUAUUCAAUUGUCAGAGGUGAAAUUCUUGGAUUUAUUGAAGACUAACUACUGCGAAAGCAUUUGCCAAGGAUGUUUUCAUUAAUCAAGAACGAAAGUUAGGGGAUCGAAGACGAUCAGAUACCGUCGUAGUCUUAACCAUAAACUAUGCCGACUAGGGAUCGGAUGAUGUUAAUUUUUUAAUGACUCAUUCGGCGCCUUACG